AGACUCGGGGUGCUGGCAGCGGCAGCCCACGCCUCCCAGGGAUUGCAGGCCUGGGCGCCGGGGUUGGACCAGUCUCCCGGGCAUGGCACGCCCUGGUUAUUCUGUACCCGUGAUUUGUGGCGGGGCAAGACGUUAAGUUGGGUGACACCGAGGUGAGCCACGGUCCUCGGCACCAGAUGAGGAACCACUGUCUCAAUAAGUGACACCAGUGAUGCUGUUAAACAAGGACAAUCCGGUUCAUGGAUUGUGACAACGCACGCUGACAUCAAGCAGACCCUGCCGUCAGCUGAGUGCCAUGAGAGGACAGUGACAACCUUGGGGCCUCAUGGUGAAGGUGGCAGAAACUUUGUUAGCCUGGGUGCUCAGGGUGGACAGCUGCUCUUGCCAACCGGGAACAUUUGCCUUGAGCUCUUUUUCAAAUCAGGUAGUGAUCAAGUCUCAAGGAAGAGAGAAUACAUAUGGCUUCAAAUGCAGGAUCACACUGGAUU
Molecule: long non-coding RNA, 488 nt
Filed under: Homo sapiens (human)
Lineage: Eukaryota; Metazoa; Chordata; Mammalia; Primates; Hominidae
Description: non-protein coding lnc-PTS-1:29
Source: RNAcentral